Molecule: ribosomal RNA, 864 nt
Filed under: Triticum aestivum (bread wheat)
Lineage: Eukaryota; Viridiplantae; Streptophyta; Magnoliopsida; Poales; Poaceae
Description: partial small subunit ribosomal RNA
Source: RNAcentral
AUGGAGACCGCGCUGCAGCUCUCCGACCGGUGGCAGAUCACCGCCGCGCCGAUGCUCCGCUGGCUAAGCAAGCUGAAUCGCGCCGCCCAGGAGUGCGGCGACACGCUGCGCCACUGCAGGCAGCGCCAGCGCGCCCUUGAAGACUCAAAGUUCAUGCUGCGCCUCUCCGAGAGCAGCGACGUGCUCGGGAUCAUAGCGAGGUGCAUGCAGGCGGUGACGCCGCACCUCAAGGUGGCCGCGGAUGGCCUCAAGAGGGAGCUCGUCCAGCUUCCAACCCAGGAUUUCUCCUGGGUGGAGAGCUCCCCCUUCAGAGAGACAGAGUACUGGGUCGAUAUACACAGGACCUUGACCCAAUGUCUUCGUCCAGACCCGCUCUGUUGCGGCGGCCAUGAUGAUCCCAUCGUCCCUUCUACUUGUAACAGCAGCAAGACCGACAAACAAUCAUCGUUGUCACCAUCAAAGACGAGCUUUGCUUUCGAGGUGAUCGACGGGAAGGAGCAAGAAACGGUCCAUCGAAAUGCGACCUUGCAAGACGUAGACGAGAAGCUGCUCCGCAAGGCCAUGGAUCACCUCUACCGGAGCUCCGAAUCCAGGAUGUAUCAGCUGUGCCUGAGGUCCAGCCAUGGCACCGCGCAACUCUGCGUGGAGAAGACGACGCCUGCAACGCGUGUGCCGAGUAAAGGAACCGCCGCAUCACGGUUGCAGAUCAAUGGAAGCAAAAGGGUGGUGGAUCGGAAACGAGAGGAUUACAGAAUAAAGGGAUGGCAGGAUGCGUCGAGGGACCUGCUCAAGCUAUGGGUCGUGCGUGCGUCUGACAAGCUCUGCAUGGCUCACUCAGCUCCUGGACUGUCAACUUUGAUUUAA